UGGGGAAUAUUGGACAAUGGGGGCAACCCUGAUCCAGCCAUGCCGCGUGAGUGAUGAAGGCCCUAGGGUUGUAAAGCUCUUUUGUGCGGGAAGAUAAUGACGGUACCGCAAGAAUAAGCCCCGGCUAACUUCGUGCCAGCAGCCGCGGUAAUACGAAGGGGGCUAGCGUUGCUCGGAAUCACUGGGCGUAAAGGGUGCGUAGGCGGGUCUUUAAGUCAGGGGUGAAAUCCUGGAGCUCAAACUCCAGAACUGCCUUUGAUACUGAAGAUCUUGAGUUCGGGAGAGGUGAGUGAACUGCGAGUGUAGAGGUGAAAUUCGUAGAUAUUCGCAAGAACACCAGUGGCGAAGGCGGCUCACUGGCCCGAUACUGACGCUGAGGCACGAAAGCGUGGGGAGCAAACAGGAUUAGAUACCCUGGUAGUCCACGCCGUAAAACGAUGAAUGCCAGCCGUUGGUGGGUUUACUCACCAGUGGCGCAGCUAACGCUUUAAGCAUUCCGCCUGGGGAGUACGGUCGCAAAGAUUAAAAACUC
RNAcentral lists this ribosomal RNA (532 nucleotides) under uncultured bacterium. Its description in RNAcentral is "partial 16S ribosomal RNA". It matches the Rfam family "Bacterial small subunit ribosomal RNA", at positions 355 to 902 of the family's 1533-position model. The record is from RNAcentral.